RNAcentral lists this transfer RNA (91 nucleotides) under Cyanidioschyzon merolae. RNAcentral describes it as "trnS". It matches the Rfam family "tRNA". Rfam says of the family: Transfer RNA (tRNA) molecules are approximately 80 nucleotides in length. Lineage: Eukaryota; Rhodophyta; Bangiophyceae; Cyanidiales; Cyanidiaceae. The record is from RNAcentral.
GAGAUGGCCGAGUGGUUUAAGGCAAUAGUUUGCUAAACUAUCAUAUACAUAAGAUUUAUGUAUAUCGUGGGUUCAAAUCCCAUUCUCUCCA